CGCAUUCAGUUGCCAUCGGGUAAUGCCGGGCACUCUGGAAGGGACUGCCAUCGACAAGAUGGAGGAAGGUGGGGAGUGACGUCAAGUCAUCAUGGCCCUUAUGUCCAGGGCGACACACGUGCUACAAUGGCCGGCACAACGGGAAGCGAGUUCGCGAGGACGAGCGGAUCCCUCAAAGCCGGUCGCAGUUCGGAUUGAAGUCUGCAACUCGACUUCAUGAAGCUGGAAUCGCUAGUAAUCGUGGAUCAGCCAAGCCGCGGUGAAUACGUUCCCGGGCCUU
Molecule: ribosomal RNA, 280 nt
Filed under: uncultured Synergistaceae bacterium
Lineage: Bacteria; Thermotogati; Synergistota; Synergistia; Synergistales; Synergistaceae
Description: partial 16S ribosomal RNA
Rfam family: Bacterial small subunit ribosomal RNA
Source: RNAcentral